This is a non-coding RNA of Poecilia reticulata (guppy), 1031 nucleotides long. The record is from RefSeq and is a predicted model, not a curated record. Lineage: Eukaryota; Metazoa; Chordata; Actinopteri; Cyprinodontiformes; Poeciliidae.
CCCCAAACUAACCGACUGAGUUCAGUAAAGCUGUUGGAUGCAGACGUGUGAUGGAGCUCGGAUCCGUCAGGUCCAGAGAUGAAGCAGUGGCCUUCGUCAGCAUGGCCUGGACUGCCUAGGUGGACCUCCAGCCUCCAUGAAGAUCCCAGUCUGUGGAGCGGUUCUGAUCCAGACCCGGGAUGUGAUGAGGAAAUCUCAGCGGCUCUACUGCUGAGACUUUCUUUGUUUUAGUCAAAUCUGGUGAAGGGAAGGGAGUGAAACACCAAAAUAAUCAGAGUUUAUGCUUAGAGUCUCUGUUUCCUCCUGGAGACCAAAUGUUGGAGUAGGCUUUAGAGUCGGGUCAAAGGUCACAGAUGUGUGGGAACAGCAAGAAAUCGAAUCAAAGGAACCUUUUAAUUCUCACUUUUGAAUCACUGCAGCCUCGUUUCUCAUUUCAUAAUGAGCUUUAAUAGUUUAAAACAUAAAUGUCUCAUUCAGGACUGUACAAUGAGAGGCAGGAAUUUGAUUCCAUAUCCAACUUAAUUAGUAAUGAAAAUAUUUUCCAGGGAUUGGUGGAUGUUACUGASUGUGUUGUUCUAAUGACAUUUACAGAAACAUCCAGACCUGAUGUUAGUUUUUAACAUCAGUAAAAUUAUCAGGUUGAAUUUUUUAUUUCAGAAAGUUAAAGCAGUUUUAACUCUUACAAAUGUAAAAUGGAGCACUUCCCCCUCUGGUGGCUACAACUUGUAUUACAUACAGAAAUAACAAUAUGUCUUAUUCUUCUAAGAUCAGACAGAAACGUUGUUGAGGGCAACUAAAUGAUGGACCUCUGUAGUUUUUAUUCAGCCUUUGGAUGGAUUGUUGUUUGGUUUUGAUGUUGGAGAUCUGAUGUGACGACAUCAAGAUCAGCACUUUUGAUUUCUAGUCAAUAAAAUAUUAGAUUAUUAAUCAAACAUUUUCAUUUUUUCAUUGAAAUCCUGUAAACUUCUCUGAUGAAGGUGAUCAAAGUUGUAAUUCAUGUUUUAAUCAGCAAAUAAACAUUAACAAUAAAA